This is a long non-coding RNA of Peromyscus leucopus (white-footed mouse), 2882 nucleotides long. RefSeq lists it as uncharacterized. Lineage: Eukaryota; Metazoa; Chordata; Mammalia; Rodentia; Cricetidae. The transcript is spliced from 2 exons. The record is from RefSeq and is a predicted model, not a curated record.
CAGGCUGGCUCAAACUCAGAGAUCAGCCUGCCCUUGCCUCCCAUGUGCUGGGAUUAAAGGCAUAUGCCACCAUGGCCUAGCAGGGUAUAAUGGGUUUUAGAUGCUUUGUAGAACAGAAGAACUAUGCCAGGUCUAAAUAGUUUGUGAAGUUCAGCUCAUAUUCUAAAGGUGUAAAGCUUAUUUCAUGUGUUUAAUAGAAAUGUUGAAUUCCCAACCUUUUCUUAAUAAGCUUUAGCUAGAAUGCCCUUUCUUGGCUCUUGGUGAUAUUUGACUGGAUAUUUUGAACUGAUGAUGUGAAAGCAUUUUCAUCUAGAUUCCUCAGUUUUGGUGUGUAUUCACUUCUGGCCACAACAGUGACUAUUUCUGGAUGAAGAUUGGUAGUUAAUAAGAAAAUGGCAGUGAUAGGACCUGCAUUUGGACCAGGCUAUUACCAAGUAUAAACCUAACUAUAACCAGUGUUCAAAAACCCUAAGACAAUUAUGGUGUUUCAUGUCUAAAAGGAUGGGAUGAGCCAGAUACAGCUGAUAGAUUGACCUUAAUUUAGCCUAUCUAGUUCAGGUUUGCUGUAAUCUACUAAUUGCUGUCACUUUCACACUCUAUACCUUUGUUCAAAGGAAACCCUUUUAUUAUGUGUGGAAGGUAAUGUAACCAUUGCAAGUUGAAUGAUUAUUCUAAUGGAAGCCAAGUGGGGAGUGAAGCAUGGGCUUCGUUCUAUGGGUUGGCUGUUUUAGGAAAGGAGAUGAGAUUAUGCCUUUUCAGAAGGAAGGUAGAGGGCUGGAGAAGAUGGUAGGUUUGUGAAGAGGACGUUUGAUUCACCAGUAACUUCAACUUGAUGUUACCUUUGACCUAGUUCUUUGUUUUUGACUUGCUGUAUGGUCAAAAAGAACUGUGUGCAUGCAUGUACACAUGUAUGUGUGUUCUUUAUUUUUGCUUAGAAUAUUCAGUUUUGUUUCAAGAUCAUAGGAGCAACUAUAACUAAAGAUUCCCUUUUCUUCUCCCCUGCCCCCUCCUCUGGACUGGUCUGGAACUUACUCUGUUACCAGGCUAACUGUAAUUCUAGCUUGCCAUCCUUCUGCUUUACCUGCCUAGUGCUGAGAUUACAGUCAUGGCCCACCAAAUUUUCAUGCACAGCUUUUUUAGUUGUACUUUCUUCCUACCUUUUAAUCUCAGGGUCCCUUGGUUAUAGCCAUUGGGCAUGUUUAGUAAAUGGAGGUGGUGGUUUUAGUAGUUAAAUGAGACUAUUAAGUGUUGACUCUAAAUUGGAGAUUUUAGCUAGGCAUGGGGGAGCAGGGCAGGCCCACAAUUUUCAAGACUUAAGAGGCUGAGACAGAAUUGCCUCAAAUUAAUGGCCAGCUUGGACUACAUAACUAGACUUGUUGUAAGUCAUGAAAAAAUAAAUGGGAGUUGCCAGGCCCUGUCCACUUUUCUUUGUGAGGUCCUUCAGAUAUUUCCUAAUUGUCUCUUCAGUGCUGUUAUUGGCCCUUGCAGAAGGUAGGAGAGGCUGGCUAGUUAGUUACACAUAGCAAUAGUCUUUGCAUUGAAGUCCAGAUUAGUAUGUCAGUAGUUAGGGUGUGAUGGCGUACAUCACAUCUUAAGCUAAUGUGCCCUACUGGCUGUUACUCGAAGGCCUGGUUGCUAGCCUGUAGUCAUAGAGAUAUACCAUUGAAAGGGAUGUUGGAACAUGGUCCACUCCUCUUCUGUGUCACUUCUCAGUUUUUACAGGUGAGAACCUUUCCUCCACUCUAUCCUUCCAGGAUAUUCUGCCUUAGCACAGUCCCAAAGUCAAUGGGACCAGGACACCGCCAUGUGGACUAUGACCUCUGAAACUGUAAGCCGAAGUAAAAUGUUCCUCCAUUUAAGUUGUUUGUCUCAAUAUUUUGUCAUAGCAAUGGAAACCUAAAUAUUACAUGCUUAGCACUAAGUCUGAAAAACUGUAUCCAAGCUACCUGGCACUCCCGUAAGCCAAUCAUCAUUUCACAAUACAGCUUAGGAAGUUUGAGCAACACGGUAUAAAAUGUCAAGCUUCAGAGUAGGUUAUAAAGUGAUUAAUCAGAAUUCCCAGUGGAUUAUGACUUCCAUGAAAUUCAAACCGGAUGUGUUAUGAACUGCCAAAAACAUUAGGUUUUAGAUGUUCUUCCCAGUUCUAACUCAAUGAAGAUGGAAUUAAUAACUGAUAGUAAAUAACAUGUUUGUGUUUUCUAAAAACUUAUUUAAAAUGGGCAUGGUACCACAUGGCUGUAAUCCCAGCACUCAGCAGUCAAGGGCAGGUGGAUUCCUGAGUUCAAAGAUAGCUUUGUCUACAUAGUGAGUUUCAGACCACCAAGGUCUACAUAGUGAGGCCUUGUAUUGGUUUGGGGCUGGGGGCAUGAGAUAAGACAUUUAAUAAAUUGGAAAAAAAUGACCUUAGUUUUAUUUUCUGUAAUUGAUGACUGUAGCUGAGUGGCAAUGCUGUGUCUUUAGGUGUUCACAAGGGUCAAAUAUGGACAAAACAAUAAUUUCACAUGUGUAAAGUUAGGUCAUAAAGCUCAUUUGAUUGGGUCAUAAUUCUACUAAGGUCAAGGCUGCAGGUGUCAUUCAUAUGCAGACCAGUAUUAUGCCUUGUUAGAGACCUUCCUGCUAUAACCUGUGACCAUCUGUAGGCUCUGGUUGAGACACAGAAUAACAAAACAUUCAACUUCUCACAAAGAAAAUUCAAAAGACACGGCACCCAAAUUACUGAAAGCAACUCUCAGGCACGUCUAUCUUCAGGAUCAGAUCAUCUUGUUCAAAGAGCCAGGCAACGCCUUGAGCUUCCAGAAGGCAAGCAUGCGCCAUCCUUUUUUGUUCCAAGGAACUCAUUUGAGAGACUGGUCUGAAUAAAAGCAGUAAUUUUCCACACAUUA